This is a small nuclear RNA of Cynara cardunculus var. scolymus (artichoke), 159 nucleotides long. RefSeq annotates it as U1 spliceosomal RNA. The record is from RefSeq and is a predicted model, not a curated record. The transcript has a single exon. NCBI's taxonomy places the organism in Eukaryota, Viridiplantae, Streptophyta, Magnoliopsida, Asterales, Asteraceae.
UUACUUACCUGGACGGGAUCAAUGGGUGAUCAAAAAGGCUCAUGGUCUAGGUUGAUGACCUCCAUUGCACUUAGGAGGGGUGUCCGCCUAAGGUCGGCCCAAGUGGUCGAGCCUACGUCAUAAUUUGUCAGUGGGGGAUUGUGUUCGCGCAGCCCCUUC